GUAAAUGAAUAUGUUGAGAUUACGGGUUUGGCUAACCAAGUUAUUAUUGAGUAUGUUUGAAAGUGCAGGUGAUGAAUGUCGGACUUUCGAAGUGUUGAUAUAAUAAUGAAACGGUUGAAUGUUGAAAGGAUAAUCGGACUGAAGUAACUUAUGCGGUAAAUCCUCAAUUUUGGCGACUUGGAGAAUCGGAGCGAGCGCGUGUUCGUGUUAUGCGAUACCAAACGCUUCCGCUAGUUUGUUCAAAUGUUUUUGACCCAAAAUUUGUUGUAUUGGUUUUUAGUAGUAUCUUGUUGAACGAAUUGUAGAAUUGUAUCUAGUUUGUUUAUGUUUAAAACAGGGGUAUGCUCGUUUUAUGGACGGGUCAUGCCCGAUUUUUUGU
Molecule: long non-coding RNA, 379 nt
Filed under: Helianthus annuus (common sunflower)
Lineage: Eukaryota; Viridiplantae; Streptophyta; Magnoliopsida; Asterales; Asteraceae
Description: hypothetical non coding rna
Source: RNAcentral